RNAcentral lists this ribosomal RNA (242 nucleotides) under uncultured bacterium. RNAcentral describes it as "partial 16S ribosomal RNA". It matches the Rfam family "Bacterial small subunit ribosomal RNA", at positions 524 to 762 of the family's 1533-position model. The record is from RNAcentral.
UACGGGGGGGAGCAAGCGUUUGUCCGGAUUUAUUGGGCGUAAAGAGCUCGUAGGCGGCUCGUCGCGUCGACCGUGAAAACAGGCAGCUCAACUGUGUGCUUGCGGUCGAUACGGGCGGGCUAGAGUUCGGUAGGGGGAGACUGGAAUUCCUGGUGUAGCGGUGAAAUGCGCAGAUAUCAGGAGGAACACCGGUGGCGAAGGCGGGUCUCUGGGCCGAUACUGACGUGAGGAGCGAAAAGCGU